AGAUCUUUACUUAAAGACAAAGAAAGCUGUACAUAUAUGCAUGCAAUCAGCACAUGCCUCCCCCUGGAGCCAAACACUGAGGUCUGGACAUGACCCCCAUUAGAUGAAGGGGACUGAAGUCUACAUGUCUUCAUCUGUGAUCUUUGCUAAGAACACAACAGCCAUCCUCUGGAUUCUUCUGCAAACCUCAGAAGAGGAGAAAACCCCCAUGCUAGACGGGGUUGAAUUUCCUGCCUUCACCCCACCAAACCUUGGAGGAUGAGGAGGGCUCAGUCAAAACUAAGACCACAUA
Long non-coding RNA from Pipistrellus kuhlii (Kuhl's pipistrelle), 292 nucleotides. RefSeq lists it as uncharacterized. Lineage: Eukaryota; Metazoa; Chordata; Mammalia; Chiroptera; Vespertilionidae. The record is from RefSeq and is a predicted model, not a curated record. The transcript has 2 exons.